GAUCGGUAAUUACAUUUACAUCAUAGUAGGUACAGAAUUGUGAUCUCAGACAAUUUUUCUUCAUUUUUUUAUAUAUUUGUAAAAAAAAAACUAGAAAAAUUAUUUUGUAUACACUCGGGGGAUCGUGAAGAUUUUAUCGGUGAGUAUUUGCUCUCGGAAGGGCAAUGAUGAAUAUUGAAUAAUCAGACAUAGAGCGAUAAGGUUGUAUGUCUAAAGGGAAACAGCCCAGAACAAGUGUUUAAGGUUCCAAAAUUAUUGUUAAGUGAAAUAAAAGAUGUUUUUUAUCUAAUUCGACUAGUUAAUAGGCUUAGAAGCGGCCAUUUUUUGAAGAUCUCGUAACAGAGCACUGGUUUGAUAAUGUAAUAUAGUAAGUUCACUUACUUAUAAUAUUAUAAGUUAAAGCACUAAGGAUAUAACGGAUCUAAACAAUAUACCGACACCUUGUCCAUAUUUUUAAUAUUUUACAACAUAAUUAUUUAUAAAAAUUAUCAUAAAAACAUAUAUAAAAUAUUAUAUAUGGGGUAGCGACGUUGGAUAAAUCUAGAUUAAUGGUAAUUUUAAAUUAAUAGUAAGUUAUAAAAUAAAAAAGGUCAUAUGGAUACCCCAAGCGAUAAUGCUGACAUGAGUAACGAUAAGGUUCACACUCGCUAAGCUUAUGGAUUAUAUAAAGAACCGGCUCUAAGUUAUCCCUAAGGAUUAAUGCUGAGCCAAGCUUUAUUUUUUACACCUUAUUGUUUUUUUUAAAAGAUAGG
This 752-nucleotide ribosomal RNA is filed under the name Acrogenospora carmichaeliana. Its description in RNAcentral is "partial large subunit ribosomal RNA". The stretch from base 1 to 449 matches the Rfam family "Bacterial large subunit ribosomal RNA", at positions 874 to 1226 of the family's 2925-position model. The record is from RNAcentral. Lineage: Eukaryota; Fungi; Ascomycota; Dothideomycetes; Minutisphaerales; Acrogenosporaceae.